AGUGAACGCUGGCGGCGUGCUUAACACAUGCAAGUCGAACGAGAACGGAUUAUAGCUUGCUAUAAUUGUCAGCUAAGUGGCGCACGGGUGAGUAAUGUAUAGGUAAUAUGCCUCUUACUAAGGGAUAACAAAUGGAAACGUUUGCUAAUACCUUAUACUCCUUAUUAACAUAAGUUAAUAAGGGAAAGAUUUAUUGGUAAGAGAUUAGCCUGUAUUGUAUCAGUUAGUUGGUGGGGUAAUGGCUUACCAAGACUAUGACACAUAACUGGUUUGAGAGGAUGAUCAGUCACACUGGAACUGAGACACGGUCCAUACUCCUACGGGAGGCAGCAGUGUGGAAUAUUGCACAAUUGACGAAAGUCUGAUGCAGCAACGCCGCGUGGAGGAUGACACAUUUCGGUGCGUAAACUCCUUUUAUAUGAGAAGAUAAUGACGGUAUUAUAUGAAUAAGCACCGGCUAACUCCGUGCCAGCCGCCGCCGUAA
This 484-nucleotide ribosomal RNA is filed under the name uncultured bacterium. RNAcentral's name for it is "partial 16S ribosomal RNA". It matches the Rfam family "Bacterial small subunit ribosomal RNA", at positions 29 to 523 of the family's 1533-position model. The record is from RNAcentral.